UGGGGAAUCUUGCACAAUGGAGGAAACUCUGAUGCAGCGACGCCGCGUGAGCGAAGAAGCCUUUCGGGGUGUAAAGCUCUUACGCCAGGGACGAUAAUGACGGUACCUGGAGAAGCAGCUGCGGCUAACUACGUGCCAGCAGCCGCGGUAAUACGUAGGCAGCAAGCGUUGUUCGGAAUUACUGGGCGUAAAGGGUGCGUAGGCGGCGCUCUAAGUUUGGUGUGAAAUCUCCCGGCUUAACUGGGAGGGUGCACUGAAAACUGGGGCGCUCGAGUAUGGGAGAGGAAAGCGGAAUUCCUGGUGUAGCGGUGAAAUGCGUAGAGAUCAAGAGGAACACCUGAGGCGAAGGCGGGUUGCUGGGCCGACACUGACGCUGAUGCGCGAAAGCCAGGGGAGCAAACG
RNAcentral lists this ribosomal RNA (402 nucleotides) under uncultured bacterium. RNAcentral describes it as "bacterial SSU rRNA". It matches the Rfam family "Bacterial small subunit ribosomal RNA", at positions 355 to 774 of the family's 1533-position model. The record is from RNAcentral.